GAAACACAGAUAUUUACAGGGAGAUGGAUGAAAGAGGCAACACCCUUCACCUCCUGUUGGGUUCAGAACUACAAGUUCUCAUUUGUGUUUCCACAUCCAGCCAGUAGAUGGAGCCCUGAUGCAGCAGAUCCAAGUUAGAUGUGACCUUUGAGCCCUCAAGCUUCCUCUAAUGUGAGAUCUUGCUUUGUGAUGAGGAUGAUGGUGGAUUUUAGGGGCAAAGGUGCUCUAGUUUCAUAAAACAGAACUGCUUUAACCCCCUCUCUAUAAAUGCACACUAUAAAAAAUAAGCUUCUAAAAUAAAGAGGCGUGAAGGCGUUAAAACACUGAGAUGACGUUCUUCAGGUUCUUCUGUGAGCAAACGGCUGAAAGAUCUUCUCCUGAGGAAAACAGCAAACAGAAACACCCAGAGCUCACAGGUCAGUUAAAGUCACUGCUUGUUGUGGGCAUGUGCAGAAGCAUCUGAAUACUCGUCUUUCAUCCAAUUCCUUUGACUCGUGUCUUCCCUCUAACCUCCUGUCAAAAUGUGAAACCACUCUUCUGAAACCCGUCCACUCUCCUGCAGCUUGGUGGAGCCCAUAAACCCCCAAACAAACUCAGCCGACUGCAGCAGAUGGCAGCGGAGUCGGCCUUUCUUUCCAGCUUAACAUAUGCAAAAACGGCUCCAUGUUCUGCAAAGCUUCAACCGAUCCUGAGAUGAUGUGAGAUGUCCUCAGCCGCUUCUUAGAGACCAUGCAGCUCUGCAAAUAAAAAAAGCGUUUUGGAAAAA
Non-coding RNA from Oryzias latipes (Japanese medaka), 766 nucleotides. NCBI's taxonomy places the organism in Eukaryota, Metazoa, Chordata, Actinopteri, Beloniformes, Adrianichthyidae. The record is from RefSeq and is a predicted model, not a curated record.